Long non-coding RNA from Seriola aureovittata, 3753 nucleotides. RefSeq lists it as uncharacterized. NCBI's taxonomy places the organism in Eukaryota, Metazoa, Chordata, Actinopteri, Carangiformes, Carangidae. The transcript is spliced from 3 exons. The record is from RefSeq and is a predicted model, not a curated record.
AAUAAUUCAGUUAAAAACAUUAGUUAUGCUACAGCAUGACCCUUUAAGUACAAUUCUAGCAGAGUUCUGUAGUGUUUUUGGUUUGAGGUGGAUGCUGUGUAUCAGCUGGUGGUGUCGAUGCCUCCAGGCAGUCCUCGGUUGCCCAGGAAACACAGAUGGUGGAUGAAGGGCGCGCAUACAAAAGACCAUAAACCUGUGGCAGCAGCUGGAGAGCGAGACCACUGAUUAACUCGAGUCUGUGCAGUCUCGCUCAGUUAAAGACGUCGCUGUUCUCUUUAAUACGUUCAAUCCAUUUCCUUUGUCCCGGGGCUUCAUCCGUCUGCACUUUAUCCUGUUUUCCGUGGACUGGACUCCCGUCAGUGCGCAGCUGUUGUUGGCACUCCCACAUCUGCUUGUCUCAGCUCGGCAGCCAUAUAGACGACGCUCAGCCGCGGCUCAUGUUAGUGCGUAGGUUGUAGGUCCGGGAGGCGACCAGCGUUUUCACUGCGGGCGAAGUCACUGCACACAAGUAUUCGUAGGUUCGGCUGCCUGCCCUUAGCAUGGGGAAAAGGAAGAAGAACAAGAAGAUAUGCUCUUUUCUCACCGUUUGAUGCUGCGGGACAUGUACGUGAUGAACCUGGAGAUGACUGGUAACCUUGUGGUCAGUGUUGCAUGGACAUUGCACUGGAUUCAUCUACAGAGCUGCUGACAUGUCACCAGUCAGGACACUGGGAGGAUCCAAAUGGGAACCAACAGCAUGACAGGUUAUGUGUACAGGCUGGAUUACCUUUAUUAAAAUCGUGAGGGAGGUUCAUUUUCACUGGCACACAAUAUCUGGUGGAGACUUUAAUAGCGUUACUCACUCACAGUUAGAUAACUGACAUCAAUGAAGCCUACACUAUCUCAAGUGACUUAUGUCUUUUAGCAGUGGGUCUAUUUCAUUCUCAUUCACUUGUAAAUAAAAAGCAGUAAGGAGAAACAAUGAAAUGAAAGAACAGGCGUUCCCUGGGGGAUCUUGGGAGGACAGUUGGGUUGCGUUCCACUUUUCUGCUGCUUUGUGUCGUGUGUUCUUCUCCAGUUACACUGAUGAAAAAGCAGAUCGGGGCUCGCACUGGACCUCAUUGUACACCUGGCGGCAUCGCACCAUCACCCUCUGCUGUGCUGCCUUCACAGACUGUGAGUGAUGCGUGGUGCCAUCAUUGCUGUCCUGGACCUUCAGGAGAAGAGGAUCCAUGUUCAAGUGUUUCCCCACAGAGAGACGACUUCUGCCGCUUUUAUGUAUCAGGGAAAAGAGCUGUGAAGAGUUAAAAAUGCCACCCACUCCUUUGUAGUCAGUGUCAGCGUGAUAAGAUGUAGCAGAGAGGUAUUUCAUGGGUAGUGUGUAUUUCUCCCCAGCUGUGAGCACACCCUCACUUGAAUUUUUGUUUUCUUCACUGAUCAAAAACACUGUCACUUCAGCCAUUGAACACGGCACGCUUGCUUUCUUCAGCUGUUCUGUGCAGUGACCUCUUCACUCUGUUACCUUGGUUACACUGUCUAACUCUUCAGUCACUUCCUCCUCUGUAGAGGACACUUUAAAUUCACCAGAGGUGGUGUUUUAACAAUGCUGUCCUCCUGUGUAUUAACUUCUCACUAAAGCUAGCAUCCAUAAUGGGAAAGCUCUAAUAUUUUAAUCCUGUAAUGUUAAAAAAAAAAAACAUCUGCUUAAGUGUGUGAGGAUGGUGUGUAAUUCACACAGUAUGUUUUUGUUUGUCUUGAAACCUCUUAAUUUGGACUUGAUACUACUAUUUUAAUGUAAUAUAUACAGUAGUACUGUUAUGCGUGGGUGUGUUUGUGUGUCUGUGCGAGUGCAUGUGUUUAUGCAUGUGCUCUAUUUGUGUGUGUGUGCGUGUAUGUGUGUGUUCACUCCUGUAAAUGUGCAUGUGUAUUGUUAUGUAUGUCUGAUAGAAACGUUUUUGUAAUGGGCCUCAAGUCCAAGCUGCUUUACAGUAAUUUCCUUAUAGCUGCAUACUUUUCAGAUGCCUGAAGCUCAUCUUUUAGCCACUGGAUGUACCAGAAAGGGAUAAAAAAAAAAAAAAGAUAUUUUCAAAUGAUUGUUAGCAUUUGUUACAACCUCACUAAAGUACCAGUUGGGUGGGAAUUCUUGUGAUUUAGAUAAUCACAAGAAUGGCGCUGGAAAUGAAUGGUGUGUAUUUUUCUAAAUGACGCCUGCUGGCAUUAAUUAAACUGUCCUGAUGCUUACAGCCCCAUCAUCUGAUACUUAAGCUAAUUACAGCAAAUGCUAAUAAUUAUGUGCAAAUAGCUUUUUUUUUACCCAGGUCUGGAUUGUACUAACAGAAUCUCACUAAUAUCUAACAGUACUAAUGUCUGCUAACAGUCGGAUGAUUACUAACCUGUACUCUGAAUGCUGAUGGCUGGCCUGGAUCUCUCUAACACACUGACUAACCCGCUGCUUUACGCCCGCAGUCUAAUGUACACACUCCUCUCUCAUGAUCCUGCAAUCCUUCUUCCAGAAACGACCGCCUCACAUUAAUCACUGAAGAAAGAUCAAUGAAAAAAUUUUUAAAGUCAGUAUGUCAAGAAGGGUUUCAGGAUUUGGGACGGGAAACGUUAUUAACCACAAGAUGAAAAGAGGAGCAGACACAGCUGCUGAUAUUAAACUGGGUUGACCACAUACUUUAAAGAAAUCCUCCGAAAAAAUUCCAAAUGAUAUUACCAAACUGUGUCACACUUCACAGGCUAAAUUCACAUAUUUUGAGAAUGGCUUUGUAACUGCCUGUGCGCUGUGUGGUCAACCUUCGCAGGGGAGUGCCUGGCUUGUUGUCACCACAGGUAAUGCAGUGAGACACAAGCCAAGCCAAGCCUCCGCUCCACUACUAACUCCUUAUGGUAUUGUUACUAACAGUGGUGAGGCUGACAAGGCCCACCUGUUGCUCUUACUAACAUCUCUGUCCUCUCUGACUGAAACUCGAUUUCAAUCCUGAUGUUUCUUUGUUAAUCUUUAAUUGGAUCAAAGCAUGCCUCACGGUACCAGUGAUGUUCAUUAAAUCACAUUAUAUAGAAGCUUUUAUCCAAAACAUCCUUUAGUGUCAUGAGAAUGUGCUUUUUUUUUUUUAUCAGUGAACCUCCCUGCUAAGACCACCAGCAACAUCCUUAUAAUAAAGCUUGACACUUUUGUUCCCUUGACCAGCUACUAACAUCUCCUAAACUUCAAUUAACAGUUACUAACAUGAGGAGCUUUUAAUAGCUCUCUGCAAACUAACAAACUAACCUACUAAUAAACUAAUAAUCUAACAAUAACUAACUAAUCACUAACUUUGUUCUGAGUGGCAGAAUUAGUGAAGCUCCCUGAUUUUGAGGAGUUGCAUCACUUAUUGAAUGUACUGAAUUCAGUUUAUAAGAAUCAAUGAUGGUUGAAUGUGCCUGUCUGUGUGUGUGUGUGUGUGUGUGUGAGAGAGAGGGAGAGAGAAAGAGAGAGAGAGAGAGCACAGAAAAGUGUGUGAGUUUGUGUUUGCACAGAAUGUGACAUGUGAUGAGCGACCACCUGAUUUUGUUCUCUCAUAUUCAUUAGAGUAAUUUAGCCACCAAUUAAGCAACAGCUAUCACCCUUGAGCUUUCAGACAAUAAACUGUGUGAAUGUAUCAUGAGUGUAAAGAAAAUGAAUUAAAUGUACUCAGAUAUUUUUGUACCUUAUUGUGAAUUUAUCAAUUGUCUUCACUACAUACUUUUGUAAUAAACAAUUUUCACAUAUAAAUAAAACCUGUUUUGAUUGUA